Molecule: small nucleolar RNA, 80 nt
Filed under: Balaenoptera musculus (blue whale)
Lineage: Eukaryota; Metazoa; Chordata; Mammalia; Artiodactyla; Balaenopteridae
Description: Small nucleolar RNA SNORD115 (ENSBMSG00010008351.1)
Rfam family: Small nucleolar RNA SNORD115
About the family: HBII-52 is a member of the C/D class of snoRNAs, which contain the C (UGAUGA) and D (CUGA) box motifs. HBII-52 is encoded in a tandemly repeated array with another C/D snoRNA, HBII-85, in the Prader-Willi syndrome (PWS) region of chromosome 15.
Source: Rfam by way of RNAcentral
GGGUCAAUGACGAGAACUCAUAUGAUCAUGAAGAGAGAUGAGGACCAAAAAUCAUGCUCAAUAGGAUUACACUGAGGCCC